CCUGGGAAGGGAGACUUCCAGAGGUGGGCGGACUGCGACUGCUCCUUGGAGCAGUACACCUGACUGUCCCAGCCAUUGGAGAGAGCCCAGUGCUGGUAGCCUUCGACGGGGAUGAGCGCGUCGUGACGCGGCUCCGGGUGCCCGCUGAUCCCGGGCACCACCGACACGUCCAGGUUUUAAAUGCUGAGUGCUUGGGUGCAGCCAACGCACAGGCCAUGGCCACACAGUAGCCCCUCGCUCAGCCGGACCUACUGCACCCUUCAAACCCGAGAGCAAAUGGACAGGUCUGCAGAGACCCCUUUGGGCCACCUCCCUCCUCCUUCUGGGGAGAAGGUGGCGUUUGACGGUUGAGAGCACCCGGACAUCGGAGCACUAUGCGGCCAAAAUUUAGUGGCGAGAAGAAAGAAAGGGAAACAUAGUCCUCUUCCUCAAGACCAGCCGAAGAUGUAGGCCCCCAAAGCGACUUGGAGGAGAGGGAAGGCUGGCGGGGAAGUUCGGACUCAGGGCGAUAAAAGCGGCUGGGUAAGUCCGCGUGCUCUGAAAAAUUCCCCCUUCUUUCACUUGGUUCCCCAAGACCUUUAGCGCCUGCAAAAGCCGUCUCCAAGUCUGGGGCGUGCCGGGAUCAGGGAGGGAGGCGGCGAUGCCAGAGCCUGCAGGCGGGCGAUGGAAAGUAAAAUCUUGUUGGUUAACUUUAAGCCUAGGGUCGUUUCUCACCCCUCCCCCGAAAAAAAAUGUGGAUCUCGCUGAGACACAAAUAAAAUCAAAUUAAACACUCCAGGAGAAUAUGCACCACUGGAAACGUAGUAAUUACAUCUCCAAGGCAGUUUCGCCCUAGAAAGCCUUUCUGAGGCCUGGCGCUGAAACCCUCAGCUGCGGCGCUCACUCCGGCUCGCCCGGCUGGGCUUCGAGGAGGAGACUGUGGGAUUUGACUGUGGAUGAAGUUUAGACAAAAUCCAGCUGCUGGUACGGGGAAAAAGAUGGAGCAUUUAAUUAUAAGGAAGGAAAAUGGAAAACGGCCCUUCAGCCUCGUCGGUAAGCCCUGGCUCUGCUCCGGGCUGCUUUUUCAAAAGGACUUCUGCAACGGGAGCGGUAGGAGCCACUCUGCCCUCAGCUACUGCCCAUGAACCGAGCUCUCAGCUAAGUUCAAUUCCGAAUUUUUUUCUUUUAAAUGCUCCAACACAGAAAGGAGAUAUUUAAUGUGCCUUUUCACAGGAAGCGUGUGUGUGUGUGUGUGUGUGUGUUCGCGCGCACGCGUGCGCGCGCGUGCCUGUAAAUUUGGGAUGGGUGCAGGCUGCCUGCACUGUUUCAGCACACGGCCUUGUGGACACAGCCCAAAUGCGUUCCCGAAGACACCCAGCUCUCUGCCUAAAUCCUCUGUAUGCAAAUAAAGGUCUCUGCUUGUCGGUCUGUAUGCACUUUUAAUUUACAUAUUCUUCCUACUCUACUUACAAAGACAUCCCCCAGCAAAAUAUAGAAAAAUGAAGAAGCAGAUGUCUGUGUCUUUCUGAAGUUGAGGGGUGGAA
Molecule: non-coding RNA, 1523 nt
Organism: Callithrix jacchus (white-tufted-ear marmoset)
Lineage: Eukaryota; Metazoa; Chordata; Mammalia; Primates; Cebidae
Source: RefSeq, a predicted model, not a curated record